This 468-nucleotide ribosomal RNA is filed under the name uncultured bacterium. Its description in RNAcentral is "partial 16S ribosomal RNA". It matches the Rfam family "Bacterial small subunit ribosomal RNA", at positions 28 to 507 of the family's 1533-position model. The record is from RNAcentral.
GGCGAACGCUGGCGGCGUGCUUAACACAUGCAAGUCGAACGGAAAGGCCCUGCUUUUGUGGGGUGCUCGAGUGGCGAACGGGUGAGUAACACGUGAGUAACCUGCCCUUGACUUUGGGAUAACUUCAGGAAACUGGGGCUAAUACCGGAUAGGGGCUCCUGCUGCAUGGUGGGGGUUGGAAAGUUUCGGCGGUUGGGGAUGGACGCGCGGCUUAUCAGCUUGUUGGUGGGGUAGUGGCUUACCAAGGCUUUGACGGGUAGCCGGCCUGAGAGGGUGACCGGCCACAUUGGGACUGAGAUACGGCCCAGACUCCUACGGGAGGCAGCAGUGGCGAAUAUUGCCCAAUGGGCGGAAGCCUGAUGCAGAAACGCCGCGUGCGGGAUGACGGCCUUCGGGUUGUAAACCGCUUUCGCCUGUGACGACGCGUGAGUGACGGUAAUGGGUAAAGAAGCACCGGCUAACUACGUG